Erinaceus europaeus (western European hedgehog) is the source of this 122-nucleotide small nucleolar RNA. Its record names the gene SNORA70. It matches the Rfam family "Small nucleolar RNA SNORA70". Rfam says of the family: snoRNA U70 seems to be exclusive to mammals and is a member of the H/ACA class of snoRNA which contain H (ANANNA) and ACA box motifs. The record is from Ensembl. NCBI's taxonomy places the organism in Eukaryota, Metazoa, Chordata, Mammalia, Eulipotyphla, Erinaceidae.
CUGCAGCCAAUUAAGCCAACUGUGUUGCCUUCCCCAUGGUAUCCAGUGUGCUUUGCAGCCUCCUGGGUAGUGUAGCAGCCUGUUGUUUGUACAGGCUGCCCUAAGGGGCCCUGGAGACAGCC